GGGUGAGUAAUACUUAGGGAUCUGCCUCUGUGUGGGGGAUAACUAUUGGAAACGAUAGCUAAUACCGCAUAAUGUCUACGGACCAAAGAGGGCUUUUAGCUCUCGCGCAGAGAGGAACCUAAGCGAGAUUAGCUAGUUGGUGAGGUAAAGGCUCACCAAGGCGACGAUCUCUAGCUGUUCUGAGAGGAAGAUCAGCCACACUGGAACUGAGACACGGUCCAGACUCCUACGGGAGGCAGCAGUGGGGAAUAUUGCACAAUGGGGGAAACCCUGAUGCAGCCAUGCCGCGUGUGUGAAGAAGGCCUUCGGGUUGUAAAGCACUUUCAGUUGUGAGGAAAGUUUAGUAGUUAAUACCUGCUAGAUGUGACGUUAGCAACAGAAGAAGCACCGGCUAACUCCGUGCCAGCAGCCGCGGUAAUACGGAGGGUGCAAGCGUUAAUCGGAAUUACUGGGCGUAAAGCGCACGCAGGUGGAAUGUUAAGCUAGAUGUGAAAGCCCAGCGCUCAACGUUGGACGGUCAUUUAGAACUGGCAUUCUAGAGUUUUGGAGAGGGGAGUGGAAUUCCAGGUGUAGCGGUGAAAUGCGUAGAGAUCUGGAGGAACAUCAGUGGCGAAGGCGACUCUCUGGCCAGAAACUGACACUCAUGUGCGAAAGUGUGGGUAGCGAACAGGAUUAGAUACCCUGGUAGUCCACACCGUAAACGCUGUCUACUA
This 713-nucleotide ribosomal RNA is filed under the name uncultured bacterium. Its description in RNAcentral is "bacterial SSU rRNA". It matches the Rfam family "Bacterial small subunit ribosomal RNA", at positions 104 to 818 of the family's 1533-position model. The record is from RNAcentral.